AGAAAACACUGUUUACCGUUCUCGUAGUCACUGCUUGCGUAGGCAUCACCACCGCACAGGUCUCCUGUUCUACAGAAUGUUUGAACCUGGCAACUCAGAUUCGCAAUGCCGACAGUAUUUUCACUGCAGCUUCCCUUUAUAGCGAGUUUUUCAUCGAUGGUUGCAAUAUCCAGUGCCUAAACCAAAG
Long non-coding RNA from Schistocerca americana (American grasshopper), 187 nucleotides. RefSeq lists it as uncharacterized. The transcript is spliced from 3 exons. NCBI's taxonomy places the organism in Eukaryota, Metazoa, Arthropoda, Insecta, Orthoptera, Acrididae. The record is from RefSeq and is a predicted model, not a curated record.